UACGGGGGAUGCAAGCGUUAUCCGGAAUUAUUGGGCGUAAAGCGCCUGUAGGUGGUUUAAUAAGUCUGUUAUUAAAGACUAGGGCUCAACCCUCGGAAUGUAAUGGAAACUAUUAGACUGGAGUACGGCAGGGGCAGAGGGAAUUUCUAGUGUAGCGGUGAAAUGCUUAGAUAUUAGAAAGAACACCAGCGGCGAAGGCGCUCUGCUGGACCGUUACUGACACUCAGAGGCGAAAGCUAGGGGAGCAAAAGGG
Molecule: ribosomal RNA, 253 nt
Filed under: uncultured bacterium
Lineage: Bacteria
Description: partial 16S ribosomal RNA
Rfam family: Bacterial small subunit ribosomal RNA
Source: RNAcentral